AUGAGUGAUAAGCAGAAGUUAUAUAUUGGAGGCAAGAGAACUACAAUGGUGUCAAUGUUAAAGAACAUUCAUGACAAGAUAUCUCACAUAAUUGUUUCCAAAGAAAAAGAAUCAGAUAAGUGUACUGGGAGACUCUGCCCAAAGAUCCAGAAAAAGCUUGAUAAAUAUGUUGAAUGUGCUGCUCAUUGUAUGGUUCAAAAAGCCGGUAAAGAAGUUUUACAGGUGACAUCUUUCAACAACAUUUAUCUGGUGGAUCUGAAUAUGAAUAGCUGUGAAGGCAAAAAGUGGGAGUUGUCUGCCAUCCCAUGCCAUCAUUCUGUAUAG
RNAcentral lists this ribosomal RNA (324 nucleotides) under Triticum aestivum (bread wheat). Its description in RNAcentral is "partial small subunit ribosomal RNA". The record is from RNAcentral. Lineage: Eukaryota; Viridiplantae; Streptophyta; Magnoliopsida; Poales; Poaceae.